Molecule: unclassified non-coding RNA, 245 nt
Filed under: Hevea brasiliensis (rubber tree)
Lineage: Eukaryota; Viridiplantae; Streptophyta; Magnoliopsida; Malpighiales; Euphorbiaceae
Source: RNAcentral
GCACCAGAUUCAAGUUUGUCCUGUUCUCUAUCAAAUUAUUGGCUCCAAUAUCACACAUCCUUUAAUAACAAUGGCAAGGAUUACAAUAACCUUGCCCAGAAUUCCUAAUAUAUCUUAUCGCAACUACACAAAAUUUCAAGGUUAGACAUUGCGUCGGUGAUUCUGCAUAAAGCACCCGCGAAAAGUAUUCCAACACCCCCAUGCAAAGCACAAAGUCUUUGCAGAAUCCAGAAAGCACCCACUCA